CAGCAGUCGCCACGGGAAUACCAGCACCUCGAGUGGUCAGGAGGUUUAUUGGGCCUAAAGCAUCCGUAGCCGGUUGCAUAAGUUUUCGGUUAAAUCUAUGCGCUUAACGUAUAGGCCGCCGAAAAUACUGUGCAGCUAGGGAGUGGGAGAGGUACACGGUACUCGAUAGGAAGGGGUAAAAUCCUUUGAUCUAUUGAUGACCACCUGUGGCGAAGGCGGUGUACCAGAACACGUUCGACGGUGAGGGAUGAAAGCUGGGGGAGCAAACCGGAUUAGAUACCCGUGUAGUCCCUGUCUCUUAUAC
This 304-nucleotide ribosomal RNA is filed under the name uncultured bacterium. RNAcentral describes it as "partial 16S ribosomal RNA". It matches the Rfam family "Archaeal small subunit ribosomal RNA", at positions 456 to 760 of the family's 1478-position model. The record is from RNAcentral.